Molecule: ribosomal RNA, 938 nt
Filed under: Devriesia sp. ZWY-2014a
Lineage: Eukaryota; Fungi; Ascomycota; Dothideomycetes; Mycosphaerellales; Teratosphaeriaceae
Description: eukaryotic LSU rRNA
Rfam family: Eukaryotic large subunit ribosomal RNA
Source: RNAcentral
AUCAGGUAGGAAUACCCGCUGAACUUAAGCAUAUCAAUAAGCGGAGGAAAAGAAACCAACAGGGAUUGCCCUAGUAACGGCGAGUGAAGCGGCAACAGCUCAAAUUUGAAAUCUGGCGCAAGCCCGAAUUGUAAUUUGUAGAGGAUGCUUCUAGGCAGCGGCCGGUCUAAGUUCCUUGGAACAGGACGUCAUAGAGGGUGAGAAUCCCGUAUGUGACCGGUUGGCACCUUCCACGUAGCUCCUUCGACGAGUCGAGUUGUUUGGGAAUGCAGCUCUAAAUGGGAGGUAAAUUUCUUCUAAAGCUAAAUACCGGCCAGAGACCGAUAGCGCACAAGUAGAGUGAUCGAAAGAUGAAAAGCACUUUGGAAAGAGAGUUAAAAAGCACGUGAAAUUGUUGAAAGGGAAGCGCUUGCGACCAGACUUGUCGGCGGUGUUCCGCCGGUCUUCUGACCGGUCCACUCGCCGUCGGCAGGCCAGCAUCAUCUGGAGCCGCCGGAUAAAGGCGGAGGGAAUGUAGCUCCCCUCGGGGAGUGUUAUAGCCUUCCGUACAAUACGGCGCGCUCCGGGUGAGGUCCGCGUCUCGGCAAGGAUGCUGGCGUAAUGGUCGUAAGCGGCCCGUCUUGAAACACGGACCAAGGAGUCGAUUAUCUAUGCGAGUGUUCGGGCAUCAAACCCCUACGCGUAAUGAAAGUGAACGGAGGUGGGAACUACGGUGCACCAUCGACCGAUCCGGAUGUCUUCGGAUGGAUUUGAGUAAGAGCAUAGCUAAUCGGACCCGAAAGAUGGUGAACUAUGCCUGAAUAGGGUGAAGCCAGAGGAAACUCUGGUGGAGGCUCGCAGCGGUUCUGACGUGCAAAUCGAUCGUCAAAUUUGGGUAUAGGGGCGAAAGACUAAUCGAACCAUCUAGUAGCUGGUUCCUGCCGAAGUUUCCCUCAGGA